UCUCACACAGAUUUCCUUCACUCUCUCACGUUUCCUGUCACACUCAAUCACUCUCCAUCAUCUCUCUCACUCCCUCACGCUACCUCACACUCUUUAACGACUCUCAUCCUCUCAAUACACUCACUCACUGUUCCUCUUCUGGAAUACCACACAUCCCUCACGACAUCUCUCUCGGCCACUCUUGAAAAAAAGAAAAACGAAAAAGAAAAGAAAACAAGAAGAGGACUUUUCCUCUUCAUCUCCAACGCACCUACACACUGACAAGCCGUCCAUCGCACAACUUUCCUUCACAAAAAACCCCUCUUCUCCGACAAACAGAAUCGUCCAAAGCAAUCUCCAACGGCUCAUCCUCCGCCGGGAGGCUUUGAGGUUCGACGAAAUCAGCUCACCGUAUCACACCACCAUCGAUGGCAUUUUGGAAACCUUCCAAUCUCCGGUGACUCCCACGGCGACGACACUGUAACAAUCACGUUUUGGUUGGUGUUCCUCACGUUUUUUUUAUAUAUAUCGUUUCUAUUUUAUCAUUUUUACGUGCUUUUGGUUUAAUGGGAUGUGUUUAUGCAUUCAUUGGAAUAACUAUACAGAGGCGUUCAUAUUGCGUAUUGUUGUUUAUUUUCUUGUGGCGGUAUGGCUGUGAGAGCACCAAACUGCGUUUUGAUUGAAAGAAGUGCGGAAUAACAACAACUCUGCUUGAGGAGGCUAAAUGUUAAUCCAGUAUUUUUCCUAUAUGAGAAUUUAAACACCUCCUUUGAAACCAUCACGAUUUUGUUAUUUUGGUUCAGUAUUACAUACUGAUAAGCGAUGAUGUCUUUUUCCAGGGGAGUUUAUAAAGGGGCAUAUGUAUUCAUGGCUUAUUCUAUUAGAAUAUAUGGUGUUUAUGGUGCUUAU
This 888-nucleotide long non-coding RNA is filed under the name Lathyrus oleraceus (garden pea). RNAcentral's name for it is "Pisum sativum (pea) long non-coding RNA (PSAT_LNC005388)". Lineage: Eukaryota; Viridiplantae; Streptophyta; Magnoliopsida; Fabales; Fabaceae. The record is from RNAcentral.